GCUCCUGUGGUGGAAUCGGUAGACACACUGCACUCAAAAUGCAGCGCUGAAAGGCGUGAGGGUUCGAGUCCCUCCGGGAGCACCA
Molecule: transfer RNA, 85 nt
Filed under: Bowdeniella nasicola
Lineage: Bacteria; Bacillati; Actinomycetota; Actinomycetes; Actinomycetales; Actinomycetaceae
Description: tRNA-Leu
Rfam family: tRNA
About the family: Transfer RNA (tRNA) molecules are approximately 80 nucleotides in length. Their secondary structure includes four short double-helical elements and three loops (D, anti-codon, and T loops).
Source: RNAcentral